GAUGAACGCUAGCGAUAGGCUUAACACAUGCAAGUCGAGGGGCAGUAUGGUCUUAGCUUGCUAAGACUGAUGGCGACCGGCGCACGGGUGCGUAACGCGUAUGCAACUUGCCUCACAGAGGGGGAUAACCCGUCGAAAGACGGACUAAUACUGCGUACACUUGGAGGGAGGCAUCUCCCAUCAAGGAAAAGAAAUUCGCUGUGAGAUAGGCAUGCGUCCCAUUAGCUAGUUGGUGAGGUAACGGCUCACCGAGGCAACGAUGGGUAGGGGAACUGAGAGGUUGAACCCCCACACUGGUACUGAGACACGGACCAGACUCCUACGGGAGGCAGCAGUGAGGAAUAUUGGUCAAUGGGCGAGAGCCUGAACCAGCCAAGUCGCGUGAAGGAUGACUGUCUUAUGGAUUGUAAACUUCUUUUGUAGGGGAAUAAAGAACGGUACGUGUACCGUAGUGAAUGUACCCUACGAAUAAGCAUCGGCUAACUCCGUGCCAGCAGCCGCUGUAA
This 506-nucleotide ribosomal RNA is filed under the name uncultured bacterium. Its description in RNAcentral is "partial 16S ribosomal RNA". It matches the Rfam family "Bacterial small subunit ribosomal RNA", at positions 28 to 523 of the family's 1533-position model. The record is from RNAcentral.